Long non-coding RNA from Calypte anna (Anna's hummingbird), 732 nucleotides. RefSeq lists it as uncharacterized. NCBI's taxonomy places the organism in Eukaryota, Metazoa, Chordata, Aves, Apodiformes, Trochilidae. The record is from RefSeq and is a predicted model, not a curated record. The transcript has 3 exons.
UGAGGGGUGGGCGGGAGCGGCCGUUCCGUGAGGGCAUCCCCGGCAGAGCGCCGGGCUGGGUUCUGACUGACCCAGGGUUUGGUUUGGGGCUUUUUUUUUCCCCUCGGUGCUGUGAGGCGCAAAGUCCUCCCGGGAAAACGUAGUCCCAGGCUGGGGUCUGCCCGUCCGGAGAGGAGCAGCUCCGUGGCUGAACACUCCUGGCUCCCUCAGCCUGGCUUCCUUAGCCCCCAGAUGAUUUUUGUAGCCUUCCUCUGGACCCACUCCACUAAGUCCCUGUCCUUCCUCUAUUGAGGGCUCCAGAGCUGGAUGCUCCAGGUGAGGUCUUACCAGAUCAGCAUCAACCAGGGCAUGACCAGCAGAGAUAAAGAAGUCAUCAUCCAUCUCUACUCAUCACUUGUCAGGCCACAACUGGAACACUUGUCUUCUGUUCUGUGCAAAAAAGGUGUGGACAGGCUGGAGAGGGCCCAGAGAAGAGCCACAGACAUGAUCAAAGGCUUGUGAAACCUGGUGCAGGAGGGAAGGCUGAGAGAACUGGAGUUGUGCAGCCCAGAGGAGGAGACCUUAUCACUGUGUUCCAGGACUUGUAAGGCAGCUCUAAAGAAGGGUAUUCCACUUUUAUAAGGAGUCAUCUGGAAAAGACAAGGGGUAAUGGUUAAAGGAAAACCAAGCCAGUUCCAGAAAACCCUGAAAGAUGUGAGGCCACAUUUUUCCAAGGGAAAUGGAAGCUGAUAG